Non-coding RNA from Coturnix japonica (Japanese quail), 2810 nucleotides. Lineage: Eukaryota; Metazoa; Chordata; Aves; Galliformes; Phasianidae. The record is from RefSeq and is a predicted model, not a curated record.
GCUGCUGUUGGAGGUAAUGUUGUAAUGUCUCAGAGUUUGUUCAUUCAUCAGCUCCUGGCCACCGUGAAUCAGUCGUGACUGAGAAGGGUAGAAAUAGCUAUCCAGUGCAAAUAGCUUCACCUUCAGGUCCAGCACCGUGUCGUCCAAAGAUACAGGCACAGAAAUCAUUUUUCUUGAGAAAGACUUCACAGAGAUGGGGAAUGUGGAGCUGCUCGUGGGCUCCAUUGUCUCUGCUUUGGGUCUUUCAGCCACCUGAGACACAGCUAUGUCUGUGGAUGAAGGUGCAUAAGAUUCUCACGGCCACAGACGGCCAUCCAGGAACAGGCGGCUGCCCACAAUUCUUCCGCAUAUGUCACUUCCCGAGAAAAUGAAAGCACGGAGAGACUUCAGGGAAACAGUGCUCGUCAUCACUCCCUCCUCUGGCCUCUGUGCGUCAGGGCAGGGAGAUGGGGGGGCAGGGAAUGCAGGGGGACAGUGAAGCAGGGAGGCAGCUCUUCUUCUGGAGGGCAUGGCUUUCAUUAGGACUCCUUCAGGCCCUUCUGUGUGUCACCAUGGAGAGCCCAGGUCCAUACCCCAUACUGUCCUAAUUUGCCCCAGUGCGCUUGGGCAGAGAAACACAGGGACACACGUCUUGGCCCUGAUCCAUCCAUGUCCCAUGCUGGGGGCUGCAGGCACAGCAGGGCCACAGGGUUUGAUCCCUCCUGCUGCUGGCCAUGUGGGUCUGUGAGCAGAGAGCAUCUCACCUUCAAAACGGGCUCAGCUGCAGCAAGGGGAGUUGUCCCAUGCCUGGCAGCCAGUCAGGAGCUGGUCCUCCCCUCCUGCAGCUGGGGGUGUGUGUGGAAAUUCAGCCCAGGACCAUGGGACACGUAUAAGUAAAGCUGCAUGAGAGGGCAGUUGACAUCCUACACAAUAUCAGUGUUGUAUGAUGAGUGUGAAAGGCAGUGGUAACCCAACACAGAUGUAAUUAGGAGAGAAAAACAAGGUGUGGGGUUCACCAUCUGCUGCCUGUGUAGAACUAUUUCUGUUUGCCCCAUAGUCCUGGGCUGAAUUUCCACCCUCCAGCUGAAGCUGAGGGGUCAGGCUGCACAGAGCCCGAGGGGCGUGCAGGGCAGUGGAGCUGGUGGGCAGCACACGGAGGGCUGGCAGUGGGGCCGCCAUGGGCGCGCAUCUCCGCAGACCGGGUGUGAAGAGGGUUUGUGUUGUGAGCACAGCAAUGGAGCUGUGUCAUCUUCCGGGAACGCCCCACCUCACCUCCGGGAUUGCCCCCAUCACUUCCGUGAGCAACCCAUAUCACUUCCGUGAGCACCCCAUGUCCCUCGGAUAAAACCCCGCGUCCACUUCCUUCGUCCCGCCCAUUUAUGUCUGAGCGCUGCGGGCUCUUCGUUCAUCCAGCAGGACGGCCGCCGCUUCGAGGUUCCCUCAGUCUCGUCAGCCCGCUGAGAUGGACCUGCAGGUCCUGAUGGCCGACAGCCCAGCGUGAGCCAGCAGCGUGCCCCGGUGGCCAGGAAAGCCAGCAGUGCCCUGGGGUGCCUUACAAAGAGUGUGGCCAGAAGAUGGUGCGAGGGUCUCACCUCUGCUCUGCGCCUUGUUGGGGGCCGCAUCUGAAGUACCGGGUCCAAUUCAGUGCUCCCGGAUUCAAGGAAGACAGGGAAGUGCUGCAGACAGCCCAGCAGAGGAAUACAAAGGCUGUUGGGGGCUGGAGCGUCACCGUGGUGCUGGAAGGCUGAGAGAACUGGGGCAGUUCGGACAGCAGAAGAGAAGGCUGAGAGGGGAGCAGAGCAACGCUUAUCAGUGUGUAAAGGGCGAUGAUAAAGUGGAUGGGGCCAGGCUAUUUUUGCAGCUGCCUGCUGACAGGACAAGGGGCCAAUGGGCACAAAUUGGAACUCAGGAAGUUCCAUAAAUUGAAUCUCACUGAGGUACUGAAGGUGGCCCUCUAUGAGUGCAGGAUUCUUCUGAGAGUGUAUGCUGAGACGCGGGGAAGAAAAAGACAUACUCAUAGUAAAUAGAAUAUAAUGUAAUUACAAAAAAUAGUUGAAAACAAUGGUCAGGUUGAUGAUUGGUGUGACGUUCUCAUCUGAUGAGGAAAAAAUUUAACUGUGAGUGGAUGAGGAGGGCCUGUCGCGUUACAUCUCGAGUGUUCAUGCAUGCCUAAUAUAACAGCAUGGAAGGGUUUGGGUUCAGGAAAUGGGAUCAAAAAAUCUGUGAAUUCCCUUAACAUAAGCCAUCCAGGUCAUCCACAAGGAAUGGGUCUAUUUUCUUGAGCACCUGAAAGAGCUUCUCUUGGGCCCUUUGCCCUUUUUUCUCAACUAGGUCCAGCAGAUACCGAUUCUUCUCCUGUUUUGUAUUUUGAGCUCGCACCUCCUCUUCUUCUUUACUGUUGAUUACACCUUCAUCCCUUAAGAGUAGUAGAAUGGAGGAGAUCUGCCCCAUCCUGGAACAAAGCUCUGUCUUGUGCUUCUUCAGGAAGUCUGCAUCUAGCAGAUAACAAAGCCUGUGUUACAGUGCUGCAUGUGGCAAGGCAGGCUGUUACCUCCUGUGGUACUCUGCAUCCCAGCCAACACACCCAAGGGCUGUUUACUCUGUCCCACAACCACAUGCUCCCAUUCCCUCCACUGCACUACCAGUGCUGUUUGCUGGCCUGGAGGCUGAGUCACCAGAAGAAAGCAACCUCAUCAGCUGUGGAAGCAUUGGGAGCAUUGGAGCCAAGUUCUCCUUACAGAUGGAUCUGAUCCUACCUGAUCUCAAUGAUGCCUCCCAGACCACAGUGUCAUUCUGUCCAUCUCUAAUAAAUAAUUCAAUUUCCUCUGCCA